UACGUAGGCAGCGAGCGUUGUUCGGAAUUACUGGGCGUAAAGAGUGUGUAGGCGGUGCUCUAAGUUCGGGGUGAAAUCUCCUGGCUCAACUGGGAGGGUGCGCCGGAAACUGGAGUGCUUGAGCGUGGGAGAGGAAAGCGGAAUUCCUGGUGUAGCGGUGAAAUGCGUAGAUAUCAGGAGGAACACCUGUGGUGUAGACGGCUUUCUGGACCAUAGCUGACGCUGAGACACGAAAGCGUGGGUAGCAAACAGG
This 253-nucleotide ribosomal RNA is filed under the name uncultured bacterium. RNAcentral's name for it is "partial 16S ribosomal RNA". It matches the Rfam family "Bacterial small subunit ribosomal RNA", at positions 524 to 776 of the family's 1533-position model. The record is from RNAcentral.